UAGCUCAGUUAGUGGAGCAUGAGACUCUUAAUCCUAGGGUUGUGGGUUCGAGCCCCAC
RNAcentral lists this transfer RNA (58 nucleotides) under Mus musculus (house mouse). It matches the Rfam family "tRNA", at positions 8 to 63 of the family's 71-position model. From Rfam's summary of the family: Transfer RNA (tRNA) molecules are approximately 80 nucleotides in length. Lineage: Eukaryota; Metazoa; Chordata; Mammalia; Rodentia; Muridae. The record is from Rfam by way of RNAcentral.